This is a long non-coding RNA of Empidonax traillii (willow flycatcher), 443 nucleotides long. RefSeq lists it as uncharacterized. The transcript has 3 exons. Lineage: Eukaryota; Metazoa; Chordata; Aves; Passeriformes; Tyrannidae. The record is from RefSeq and is a predicted model, not a curated record.
AUAACAGAGCUAUCCAUACAGGCAGUGUCAGUAUUUUUAUGCCGAUUGUAAAAAUACUCUGAACAAUUUACUCUGAAAAAGCCAGCAGCUCCCUCAAACACAGGGUUGCUGGGGCCAACAUAUUCCUCUUCCAGACAACUGAAUAUUGAAAAGAAUGCAAAACAAGCUGAAAAAGUGGAACCUGUUGCUCAUCCUUUGGUGGCUGUCAGCACUGGAAAGGAUGGAUGAAGAAGUCAAACAUGGCCAUCUUCAGCCAGUCACUUGUGUGCCGAGCUUAGAGAAGUUUCAGUGUAAUAUAACACAAAUAUUCAGUUUCCCUGUGGACUCCUGGCAGCGGUGGAGGAGGCUGCAGAGGAAGGGGUAUGUUUGCUGUAGGCCUUUUGCAGCUGGAAGAACUGGAUUUGAAAUAAAGGAAAGAAAAUUUAUCUUUACAUCUUCAGAAG